AUUGUUUGUUCGUCUACGUGUGUGUGUGUGUGUGUGUGUGUGUGUGUGUGUGUGUGUGUGUGUGUGUGUGUGUGUGUGUGUGUGUGUGUGUGUGUGUGUGUGUGUGUGUGUGUGUUUGGCAGUGUUUACAACAUGUUAUUGUACAAAACAGAAAGCCUAUUCAUGAUCAUUAUUCAUAGAAUGAUAUUCACCAACACAACAAUGACUUUCUGUGACUCAAAACCUCACCAUCAUACUGUUCAAAGACACAAUGAUCAGCUGACUAUUUCUCUUUACAAGAAUAUCUGGUCCUAAAUAGUUUAAUUGUAUAACGUUUGAUAAAUUAACAGUCAUAGGCUCUAUUCUUUUUAAAGUUGUGACCAACACAUAUUCCUAAAUGUGACACAGUAUUCCCAUCAUUUGAAAUGACUCACACAGUAUUUCCUUCGUCUCUCUCUCGCUCUCCACAUGAAAGGGCCCAACCAUCCAUGAGAGGAGGAGGGGAGAGGAAGAGAGAGAGAAGUAGGGGGAGGAGAGGAGAGGGAGAGGAGAGGGAGAGGGAGAGGAGAGGGAGAGGGAGAGAGGGAGAGGGAGAGAGAAUGGAGAGAGGGAGAGAGAAUGGAGAGGAUAGGAGAAGGGGAGGAGAGGAGAGGAGAAGGGGAGGAGAAGAGGAGGGGAGAGUAAGAGAGAGAAGUAGAGGAGAGGAGAAGAGAAGUAGAAGGUAGGAGAGAGAAGUAGAUGAGAGGAGAGGAGAAGUAGAAGGUAGGAGAGAGAAGUAGAUGAGAGGAGAGGAGAAGUAGAAGGUAGGAGAGAGAAGUAGAUGAGAGGAGAGGAGAAGUAGAAGGUAGGAGAGAGAAGUAGAUGAGAGGAGAGAGAAGUAGAUGAGAGGAGAAGUAGAAGGUAGGAGAGAGAAGUAGAAGGUAGGAGAGAGAAGUAGAUGAGAGGAGAAGUAGAAGGUAGGAGAGAGAAGUAGAUGAGAGGAGAAGAGAGGAGAGGAGAGAGAAGUAGAGGGGAAAGGAAGAGAGAAGUAGAGGAGAGGAGAGAGAGAAGUAGAAGGUAGGAGAGGAGAUGAGAGAGAAGUAGAAGGUAGGAGAGGAGAGGAGAGAUAAGUAGAGGGGAAAGGAAGAGAGGGAGAGGAGAG
Molecule: long non-coding RNA, 1120 nt
Filed under: Salmo salar (Atlantic salmon)
Lineage: Eukaryota; Metazoa; Chordata; Actinopteri; Salmoniformes; Salmonidae
Description: lncRNA (ENSSSAG00000114747.1)
Source: RNAcentral